GGGCGCUCUGAGCGCUCGCUCAGCGGUGCCGACCCGGCUCUCUCCGUCUUUCCAGGGCCGCGAUGCCUGCCAGGUUUCACCCAGCGGGGCCGCCCGGCUAGAAGCGAGCCGCUGAGGCCUGGGACGUCAGCGCUGCGCUCCCCCUUGUACGCCACGAGCUGUGCCUACACGAGGUUAUGGAGCUCUGGAGCCAUCCCAAGCAGUGCAGGGGAGGAUCUCUGAGUGUGCUCCAGGCUCAAAGAAACUUCCCUAGGGAAGGCCACAUCACAAACUCAUGUCUACUUCAGCAUGAUGCAUGUAGGAGUCUAGCACGUCUCUGAACACUUGAGCCUGGUUGUCUGUGUGAGGAGAUCUGCCACAGGCCUCCUGCUGCACUACUUGCCUGCUCCCUAUCCUUCAUGCUGCUCAAGUGCCAAGGUAGCUCAGGUAGAAAGCUGCAAACCGCAGGAAUUAAUCUUCACUGACAAAGGCAUCCCUGCUAAGGACUGGUCUGGAUUGGAGGAUGUGCUUGAAGCUGCAGACUCUAUGAGCAGGGACACUCCCAGCACCCUCGAUUAAGGCGCUGCUGGUGCCUCAGGACGGCCUCAGGACGGCUUUUCCAUGGGCACGGGGGAGAUUCCUCAGCUCGCAUCUCUCCAGACAGGUUGCUGAGUGCAAGGCAAGCCUUCAAAGCCCUGAAGCAGGAGAAACGAUUGCUUUCACUCUGGCCAAAUUCUCACAAGUUGAACAGACAGACCUGAUCAAGCUUAAAGGACCCUGCAGCUACAAACAGAUAUCCAAGCAUACAGAAGUACAGGAUCUGAGAAACAGUCCAGGAAGGAGAGAGCCGUGUGCCGAACUGCUGAGCCAAGACCAGAGUCAACCCUGAGCCCUCCUCACUACAAGGCAGACCCCACACCAUCGCUGGAGGAAGGGGGAUCAGUGUUGUGCUCCUUGGCUUGUGAGACAGGAUGACCACAGCUGCUGCAAGACAGCAGGAAAUCACCUCUGUAAAGCUAUCCAGGAAGUCUGGAAUUCAGGUACAAACCUCAUGUUUGUAGGAACGUA
RNAcentral lists this long non-coding RNA (1047 nucleotides) under Struthio camelus australis. RNAcentral describes it as "lncRNA (ENSSCUG00000005016.1)". The record is from RNAcentral. Lineage: Eukaryota; Metazoa; Chordata; Aves; Struthioniformes; Struthionidae.